GCGGAGCAGCCGCUGCCAUGGGCUCAGCCGGGGACCGCCGGGGUGAUGCUGCGGCCGGAGGAGCCCCCGCUGCCGGCGGCCGCGGCUCAGGAGAGGGGAGCGGAGCGCGGCGGCUAGCCCGCUGCCUGACCCCGCCACCGGGGUUAAAGAGCUCAGAUGUGAUACAUCAGAGACCCUGGAUGAGACCAUUCCCCUGAUUAGAGACAAGUGAUGGAAAUGAACCACAUAUGUGCCAAAGUGCAUAAACUAGAGGUGGUUGGGAAGUGGAAACAGGAAAAUAAAACUCUAAACAAAUACUGGUGCCAAAAGUAUGGUAAGAACUCCUUAGUACUUUUCCCCCCUCUGAUACAGGGAAAGGAAAAAAACCCAAACCUUCCUGAUCCCAUUCCCUUAGUACCGCUGUACAGACAUAGUAAUUUGGAAUAUGAAGAAAGCACCAGUCUUUGCUGGGCUAUAGGCACCUUGAAUAGUGCAGCAGAAUUCUAUUCAGAGGCUUUCUUGGUUAUCAAGGGGAGGGUAAUAUCUUGGUUGGCUUGGAGGCAAUUUUGCUCCUUAACAUUACCAGCUGUAAUCCAGGAAUCUGAGAAUACAAGAUUCAGUUGGCAAUUUGAGCAGUAGUUAAUGUUUUAAUUAGAACUUUUAAAUGUAAAGCUUAGCAUCCAUGGGGAUUUUCAAGGGAGAAAUUAACUUGUACUCUCAAGAGUAAGGAAGGAAAGAACUGUUGUGUAAUGGUUAUAUAGGAUGGGAAUCUGUUGGGGUUUAAUUGUGAUGUUGCCACUGGUACAUUUUGAGCAAUGAAUUUACCUGUUCAGCCUCACCUUCCCCAUGCCUAAAAUGGGCAGUGCUCAACCUCUCAAAAAAAAGGUGAAGCUUAGUCAUUAUUGGAGAGUCUUUGCAAACUGCUCUGUAUUGUAACAGAUAUAUACAGUGUUGUUUCUAGUUAGCUUUCCCUUAUGGCUCAAAUGUCAACUGAAACUGAAGACAUGUAUGUUUUAGGUCAAUAAUCCCUGACCUUUUUUUCAGCUAAAUCACUUGUUAUCAUUUGUUUUGCUGUCUACUUCCUCCUACCACUUUGGCCACUUUCUCAUU
Molecule: long non-coding RNA, 1089 nt
Organism: Pezoporus occidentalis (night parrot)
Lineage: Eukaryota; Metazoa; Chordata; Aves; Psittaciformes; Psittacidae
Exons: 3
Source: RefSeq, a predicted model, not a curated record